Molecule: ribosomal RNA, 905 nt
Filed under: Escherichia coli
Lineage: Bacteria; Pseudomonadati; Pseudomonadota; Gammaproteobacteria; Enterobacterales; Enterobacteriaceae
Description: partial 23S ribosomal RNA
Rfam family: Bacterial large subunit ribosomal RNA
Source: RNAcentral
GCGGCGAGCGAACGGGGAGGAGCCCAGAGCCUGAAUCAGUGUGUGUGUUAGUGGAAGCGUCUGGAAAGGCGCGCGAUACAGGGUGACAGCCCCGUACACAAAAAUGCACAUACUGUGAGCUCGAUGAGUAGGGCGGGACACGUGGUAUCCUGUCUGAAUAUGGGGGGACCAUCCUCCAAGGCUAAAUACUCCUGACUGACCGAUAGUGAACCAGUACCGUGAGGGAAAGGCGAAAAGAACCCCGGCGAGGGGAGUGAAAAAGAACCUGAAACCGUGUACGUACAAGCAGUGGGAGCCUCUUUUAUGGGGUGACUGCGUACCUUUUGUAUAAUGGGUCAGCGACUUAUAUUCUGUAGCAAGGUUAACCGAAUAGGGGAGCCGAAGGGAAACCGAGUCUUAACUGGGCGUUAAGUUGCAGGGUAUAGACCCGAAACCCGGUGAUCUAGCCAUGGGCAGGUUGAAGGUUGGGUAACACUAACUGGAGGACCGAACCGACUAAUGUUGAAAAAUUAGCGGAUGACUUGUGGCUGGGGGUGAAAGGCCAAUCAAACCGGGAGAUAGCUGGUUCUCCCCGAAAGCUAUUUAGGUAGCGCCUCGUGAAUUCAUCUCCGGGGGUAGAGCACUGUUUCGGCAAGGGGGUCAUCCCGACUUACCAACCCGAUGCAAACUGCGAAUACCGGAGAAUGUUAUCACGGGAGACACACGGCGGGUGCUAACGUCCGUCGUGAAGAGGGAAACAACCCAGACCGCCAGCUAAGGUCCCAAAGUCAUGGUUAAGUGGGAAACGAUGUGGGAAGGCCCAGACAGCCAGGAUGUUGGCUUAGAAGCAGCCAUCAUUUAAAGAAAGCGUAAUAGCUCACUGGUCGAGUCGGCCUGCGCGGAAGAUGUAACGGGGCUAAACCAUG